GAUGAACGCGGCGGCGUGCUUAACACAUGCAAGUCGAACGAAGCUGCUUAAAGGAAGUUUUCGGAUGGAAUUUAGGUAGACUUAGUGGCGGACGGGUGAGUAACGCGUGGAUAACCUGCCUUAUACAGGGGGAUAACGGAGAGAAAUUUCCGCUAACACCGCAUAAGACCACAGCACCGCAUGGUGCAGGGGUAAAAUAUUUAUAGGUAUAAGAUGGAUCCGCGUCCGAUUAGCUAGUUGGUGAGGUAGAGGCUCACCAAGGCGACGAUCGGUAGCCGGCCUGAGAGGGUGAACGGCCACAUUGGGACUGAGACACGGCCCAAACUCCUACGGGAGGCAGCAGUGGGGAAUAUUGGACAAUGGGGGAAACCCUGGUCCAGCGACGCCGCGUGAGUGAAGAAGUAUUUCGGUAUGUAAAGCUCUAUCAGCAGGGAAGAAAAUGACGGUACCUGACUAGAG
This 459-nucleotide ribosomal RNA is filed under the name Lachnospiraceae bacterium oral taxon 107. Its description in RNAcentral is "bacterial SSU rRNA". It matches the Rfam family "Bacterial small subunit ribosomal RNA", at positions 28 to 487 of the family's 1533-position model. Lineage: Bacteria; Bacillati; Bacillota; Clostridia; Lachnospirales; Lachnospiraceae. The record is from RNAcentral.